This 383-nucleotide ribosomal RNA is filed under the name uncultured bacterium. Its description in RNAcentral is "bacterial SSU rRNA". It matches the Rfam family "Bacterial small subunit ribosomal RNA", at positions 29 to 407 of the family's 1533-position model. The record is from RNAcentral.
AGUGAACGCUGGCGGCAGGCCUAACACAUACAAGUCGAACGGCAGCACAGAGGAGCUUGCUCCUUGGGUGGCGAGUGGCGGACGGGUGAGGAAUACAUCGGAAUCUGCCUUAUCGUGGGGGAUAACGUAGGGAAACUUACGCUAAUACCGCAUACGACCUACGGGUGAAAGCGGAGGACCUUCGGCUUCGCGCGAUAAGAUGAGCCGAUGUCGGAUUAGCUAGUUGGCGGGGAAAGGCCCACCAAGGCGACGAUCCGUAGCUGGUCUGAGAGGAUGAUCAGCCACACUGGAACUGAGACACGGUCCAGACUCCUACGGGAGGCAGCAGUGGGGAAGUAAUUGGACAAUGGGCGCAAGCCUGAUCCAGCCAUGCCGCGUGUGUG